Paramuricea clavata is the source of this 646-nucleotide non-coding RNA. NCBI's taxonomy places the organism in Eukaryota, Metazoa, Cnidaria, Anthozoa, Malacalcyonacea, Plexauridae. The record is from the annotation of a GenBank genome assembly.
UUGAAGUUUCUUCAUGAAAAUUGUAUAAUUUUUCUUUCGGAAUUUUGCUCAAAAAUAUAUUUUGAAAGAAUUUUUUCACUCCUCGAAACUCUCCUCAGUCCUUUUAAAGUUGUUUUUCGCGCUCACCGGCUUGAUCGAAUCACAGUGUUUGAUCGUUGGAAUUACCAUCCUAGAUUACUUACACCAAUAGCCAAUAAAUAUGUAUAUUUACAAUGGCUUGUAUUAACAAAUUAAUCAUGUACUGAAUAUAUCAAACUGGGAGCUAAUUUAGGUGUGCACUGUGCAGUGAUUAUUAUUUUGUGCUGUGCUUAGUGAUGAAUUUUCAAAAAUAGUUCACAUCAAGCUAUAUAAGCGUCACUAAACAAGGAAACUGAGUUCAAACUGUCCAACUAUACGCGGACUGGCAGGUUUCCUAUUGCUUAAGCGAUGUACAGUGAUAUAGAAUUUUUAUAAGAUUAAUAUGGAAAUAAUCCCUGUAACCUUUUGUUCAAGCCGUUAGUUUAUGAUGUCAAUUUUUUAGAAUCUUGAUUAAUUUCAAAAAAUCGAGUGGAAUAGAAUCAUCUUCACUCUCUCUAGCCUCGUUAAAACACAUCACCAUUGAUUGGGCAGCGAACUCCAGGCUGUAAAAAAUAAAAAAAUAAAUAAA